Molecule: non-coding RNA, 78 nt
Organism: Trichonephila inaurata madagascariensis
Lineage: Eukaryota; Metazoa; Arthropoda; Arachnida; Araneae; Nephilidae
Source: the annotation of a GenBank genome assembly
GAAGGGUAUAGCUCAGUGGUAGAGCAUUCGACUGCUAAUCGCAAGAGGUCCUCGGUUCAAACCCGGGAGCCCUCUUCA